UGCGUAGGCGGCUGAUUAAGUAGGGUGUGAAAUCCCUCGGCUCAACCGAGGAAUGGCGCUCUAAACUGGUCGGCUUGAGUGAGAUAGGGGUGUGCGGAACUUCCGGUGGAGCGGUGAAAUGUGUUGAUAUCGGAAGGAACGCCGGUAGCGAAAGCGGCACACUGGGUCUCAACUGACGCUGAGGCACGAAAGCGAGGGUAGCGGAACG
This 208-nucleotide ribosomal RNA is filed under the name uncultured bacterium. RNAcentral describes it as "partial 16S ribosomal RNA". It matches the Rfam family "Bacterial small subunit ribosomal RNA", at positions 568 to 775 of the family's 1533-position model. The record is from RNAcentral.